GCUGCAGUGGCUUCCUUGAGGAAGGAAGGCCACUCCCCACAGAGCGGGGCCCAUGUGCUAAUCAUCAGGGCAGGCCUGACUCCUCACCUGAGGUGUGAACGAGCCUGGUGUUGGGACUGGAAUGAAGCACUUUAAUGGACAAGUUGGAAUCUGUUUGUGAGCAGCAAAUUGCCCCCGUCCCUGGGGCCAUUUUCCACCAUAAAUCUCAACUAUUCGACUCUGCAGAUCCCCAGCCCUGUAGCCAUGACCAGGGCAACAGGAAGGUUGUGGGAGCUCUAACAGGGCCUGGCCCCCAACAGAGGUUACAGCCCUUGCUCACCUCCCGCCCUCCUCCCCCACCAUGCUUGGCACUGAGGGUCCUGCCUUCCUUCUUGAAAGCCUGCUCUGGUCUUCCAAGCCGUGCAUGCUCCUGGUGAUCCUUGGACCACCAAGCAGGCUGUUUCCUGUCUUCUGGCUGCUCGUUCUGUUUCUCCCACCACGUCUGGUCAAGGGUCCCUCUCCUGGGGGUGUCAUUUGUGGCCACAGCCUCAGGGGUCACACUAUGUGUAUGACUUCAGAGCUGCGUCUGUCUCU
RNAcentral lists this long non-coding RNA (573 nucleotides) under Homo sapiens (human). RNAcentral describes it as "HSALNT0030792". The record is from RNAcentral. Lineage: Eukaryota; Metazoa; Chordata; Mammalia; Primates; Hominidae.